RNAcentral lists this unclassified non-coding RNA (404 nucleotides) under soil metagenome. Its description in RNAcentral is "partial contains 5.8S ribosomal RNA, internal transcribed spacer 2, and large subunit ribosomal RNA". The stretch from base 1 to 122 matches the Rfam family "5.8S ribosomal RNA", at positions 35 to 154 of the family's 154-position model. The record is from RNAcentral.
GAUGAAGAACGUAGCGAAAUGCGAUACUUGGUGUGAAUUGCAGAAUCCCGUGAACCAUCGAGUCUUUGAACGCAAGUUGCGCCCGAAGCCAUUAGGUCGAGGGCACGUCUGCCUGGGCGUCACGCAUCGCGUCGCCCCCCACAAUUCUCCGUAAAGGGAACAUGUGUUUUGGGGGCGGAUAUUGGUCUCCCGUGCUCAUGGCGUGGUUGGCCGAAAUAGGAGUCCUUUCGAUGGACGCACGAACUAGUGGUGGUCGUAAAAACCCUCGUCUUUUGUUUCGUGCUGUUGCUCGCAAGGUAAACUCUUUAAAAACCCCAAUGUGUCGUCUCUUGACGACGCUUCGACCGCGACCCCAGGUCAGGCGGGACUACCCGCUGAGUUUAAGCAUAUCAAUAAGCGGAGGA